CACGGGUUGACCUGGAGGAAAGGUCAGGAGAGUGGGGAACACGCGGGAGGGGUGGUGAACGAGAGCUUCUCUGCUCUCAGGCCCGGCAGGGAUUUCAGCUGCAGGGGUUUGGCCGUGAGCCGGUUUGGGGAGAGCUGCUUCCCCCAGGGGAACUCCCUUGGCUCUGGAGGGAUACUGGAUACCUUGAGCCCCCGCUCUGGAAACAUGGAAAGGUCCCAAGGUCACGGCCCAGCUGUGCCUGCAGACAGCUGCCCUUGGCCUCGCCUCCAAGCCUUGGCCCCUUUUCCGUCCCACGCUGAGGUUGAGGCAACCCAACAGCUGAGUAGGAGGCGGCGGCAGCUUCCUGGCAGCUUACCCCACCGUCUACUGUCUCUUAGUUUCGAUCUCAGGGAAACGGGGACUUCACUCCUCUCAGAGUCUCGAAGAAUGUCAUUUCCUUCUCCGGAGCAUAUGAGUCAAUGGGACAGUACAGGGAGAUUAUUCUGUUUUGAGGAAAAAAGCAGUAAUUUAAGUGCAGUAUGUACAAGUGAGCACAGUGGGAUGCAAAGAACAUCGAGCUGGGAACCAGGACUCCUGGGCUCCAGCCCUGCUUGGUCACGGACAGUGGUGUGGCCUUAGGCUAAUUAUGCUGUGUUUCUGGGACUCCGUUUCCUCAACUGUAAAGAGAGAACUGCACUAAUGUCCUCUAAGUUCCCUCCAGACUCCAGGGUUCUGUGGGUCUGGGAGGUCAGUGGGGCCCGGGGCUGUGGAACCAGAGCACUGGCAGAUUUCCUGUGCCCCCACUGGAGUGCUUUGUCCAUGUAGCAAAUAUGGGGACGGGGGAUGGGAGUGAUAAGGUGGAUCUAAGAAAAGGUGGGAGGACUGAGGAAAAGCCAAGGCACCCAGAGCCUCUGCUAGAAUCCCGCCCGCCCCGGCCCCCAGCUCAAAGCCAGG
Long non-coding RNA from Bos taurus (domestic cattle), 933 nucleotides. NCBI's taxonomy places the organism in Eukaryota, Metazoa, Chordata, Mammalia, Artiodactyla, Bovidae. The record is from Ensembl.